AGAGAAACAAAGCAAGAGAGAGACACAGAAAGACAGAAGGAAGCGAGAGAGAGAAAAAGACAGAGUGGGUGAACGAUCUCCGAAUGGCCCGCGGGUGAUGUCCGAGAAUUGAUCCGAUCGCUGGACGGGACCUGACCGCCCGGUCGCUGUGGGACCCCUGGGUGGAAUUCUGGACGUCGCCAUGUUGACCAGCGAGCCCAGGAUCGCCGACACCUCCACCCCUCGGUGCCCCAAGGGCGACGAGCUCUGCGUGGUCCUGCACCAUGAAUCCGAGAUCAUCAUCGUUCCAGUCCUGCUGCUGGGAGCCUCCUGCCUGGUGGGAGUUUGCAUCCUGUGGAUGAUCUGCAAAAAGAAAAAUGAAGAUGGGAGUGAACCGG
Long non-coding RNA from Carcharodon carcharias (great white shark), 377 nucleotides. RefSeq lists it as uncharacterized. The transcript is spliced from 4 exons. The record is from RefSeq and is a predicted model, not a curated record. Lineage: Eukaryota; Metazoa; Chordata; Chondrichthyes; Lamniformes; Lamnidae.